RNAcentral lists this ribosomal RNA (232 nucleotides) under uncultured bacterium. RNAcentral's name for it is "partial 16S ribosomal RNA". It matches the Rfam family "Bacterial small subunit ribosomal RNA", at positions 118 to 347 of the family's 1533-position model. The record is from RNAcentral.
UGAGUAACCUGCCCUUCACUCUGGGAUAACUCCGGGAAACCGGGGCUAAUACUGGAUAUGACUCGAACAGGCAUCUGUUUCGGGUGGAAAGAUUUAUUGGUGGAGGAUGGACUCGCGGCCUAUCAGCUUGUUGGUGAGGUAAUGGCUCACCAAGGCGACGACGGGUAGCCGGCUGAGAGGGCGAUCGGCCACACUGGGACUGAGACACGGCCCAGACUCCGUACGGGGAGCA